RNAcentral lists this ribosomal RNA (339 nucleotides) under Triticum aestivum (bread wheat). RNAcentral describes it as "partial small subunit ribosomal RNA". Lineage: Eukaryota; Viridiplantae; Streptophyta; Magnoliopsida; Poales; Poaceae. The record is from RNAcentral.
AUGUGGCACAAGACCGGCAAUACCUUGCCGGUGAUGGUCAAUGGCCGGCAGACGGGCAGCAAAAAGGUUCUGGUGAUGCACACCAACAAGAACUUCGACCAGCAGAGGACCAACUGGGUGAUGCACCAGUACCACCUCGGGGACCUAGAGCAAGAGAAGGAGCGGGAGCUGGUCCUCUGCAAGAUUUUCUACCAGAUGAACACUAGGGCCAGGACUGCAUCCCAGUUAUCAUUCUGUACUUGCAGAAUUCUCUCGUUUAUUGAGCAGGCCCAGCCCAUGAUGACAACGGGGCACAAAGAUCCAGCAGGUAUCUACUGGCCUUUGUCCUGCCAGUGUUAG